GUUUAUCUUGUUGGAAUUAUGCAAUUUCCCUUUUGUCUUGAACCUAUCUACUCUUGUUAUCAUUUGACAAAGAUGGUUAAUGUUGUAACUAGUUCAAACUUUCUAAUUGUCUAAGAAUGAUGGUAGUUGAAUAAAAGAAGUGAGUUCAUAAUUCCAGGUUCGAUUUUUUUGUUCAUUCACCUGUAGAGAUAACCUCUAUUUGGUUAUGGAAUAUCUCAAUGGUGGUGAUCUAUACCCUUUACUCAGAAAAGUUGGAUGCCUUGAAGAAGUAGCUCGUACAUAUAUUGCGGAGCUGGUUUGUACCAACUCAUUCUGUAUUAUGGAAACCAAUCUAAUUAUUGUCUAAACUUUCUUAAGCUUACAGACUUCGGACUAUAAAAAAUUGGCCUCAUAAACAACACAAUUGACUUAUCUUGUCCUGAGACAAAUCGAACUACUUCAAUAGAUGCAUGUAAUCUACAUAAGCAACAAAUGGAUUAUAGAAGUCGACACUCAGCUGUUGGGACACCUGACUACCUGGCCCCUGAAAUUCUUCUUGGCACUGAGCAUGGUUAUGCUGCGGACUGGUGGUCAGUGGGGAUAAUCUUGUUUGAGUUGAUUACAGGAAUUCCACCUUUCACCGCUGGACACCCUGUGAUAAUUUUUGACAACAUUCUGAACAGGAAAAUUCCAUGGCCGUCUGUCCCUAGU
This is a long non-coding RNA of Hibiscus syriacus, 690 nucleotides long. RefSeq lists it as uncharacterized. The transcript is spliced from 4 exons. Lineage: Eukaryota; Viridiplantae; Streptophyta; Magnoliopsida; Malvales; Malvaceae. The record is from RefSeq and is a predicted model, not a curated record.